RNAcentral lists this long non-coding RNA (930 nucleotides) under Volvox carteri. RNAcentral describes it as "long non-coding RNA (VCAR_LNC004246)". The record is from RNAcentral. Lineage: Eukaryota; Viridiplantae; Chlorophyta; Chlorophyceae; Chlamydomonadales; Volvocaceae.
CCUAACAAGGUAUAAGCUUUAUGAGCUUCGCUUUUUCCGUCCUCAACUUUGCACGUUUAACUGCGCGUGUUCGUGGGAGUCGUGGUCGUCAUAGUACAAACGAGUGCAUUUCGCCAAGAUUAGCCCAAGGCCGGUGACGUCUGGCGAAUGAAAUCCGAUCGACUUAUGUGAACAAAGUUGCAUCCCCUCAAGGUCGCGCAUACGAACGUGCGCUAGAAAAGGUAUAAAACCCGGGCCUGCCUGGAAUAUAUAGCUGUAUCCUCGCAUGUCAUCUAGCAACCACGAGCUCUGCCUACUGGACCUUGUACGCCCCUCUCAGCAACAUGGGACCCAAGUGAGUCGUCCAUCGCUGCGUCCACUGUCUAUUAUGGCAAUCUUUAUUAUCCGCUAUUCGCUGCGUCCGUCAUACCGCAGGCGUUUUGCCACUGUAGAUCCGCCGUCUCCGCCACCGGCGAAACAGCCGCACCAGGAAACAACCACGCCAGGGAGCAUGCCUGAAACCACCGCGAGCUCGGCAUUGACCGCAACACCGACUAGCCCUGCUUCGUGCAGCGCUCCCGCUUCGAGGUAUGGCUCGGACGUUGUAACCAAUCUCCCCACUGGCUGUGUUUCGUCUUGUGUUUGCGCUUGCGGUUGCGUCUGUGCCUUGCAUAUGCAAUAUACGAUUUAGUCUUGUUCGUUGUCGGCUUCGUUGGAGGACGCGGACGACUUUAUUGUGCGUGACAUGCUGUGCACUCCCUCGGAGUUGUCUUACAAUGGUUGGACGUUCUAAAUAUUGUAUAUUAACUGCUGGUCGUUCGACUUAUACCGUUCAGCGCCAAUACUUUCACUCUAGUCUCUCUACGAAGUUAAUACUGCUCAGCCCGUCAAUAUAAUCAACCGCCUUCUUUGCAUAAGCAGUCCAGCUAUUACUUGGACCUUGCUCUGCUA